AAGUCGUAACAAGGUCUCCGUUGGUGAACCAGCGGAGGGAUCAUUACCGGGUCCUUCGACUGCCCGAACCAAAACUGUGCAUCUUUACCGUACAAUCUCUUCCGCUGCGGCGGGCCGCUCGCUGGGGGAGCCCCGGGGCCGAGAGGCCUGGCCCGCCGAAGCGACAGUCUAUACCGAAGCACCACGCUCCGAAGCACGCUCUGAGAGGCAUUAAAGCCUUCUAAAGGCAAUUUUAAUUACAACCCACAACAAUGGAUCUCUUGGCUCCG
Molecule: unclassified non-coding RNA, 269 nt
Filed under: fungal sp.
Lineage: Eukaryota; Fungi
Description: partial internal transcribed spacer region
Rfam family: Eukaryotic small subunit ribosomal RNA (bases 1-46)
Source: RNAcentral